This 657-nucleotide long non-coding RNA is filed under the name Mus musculus (house mouse). RNAcentral's name for it is "predicted gene, 37381". Lineage: Eukaryota; Metazoa; Chordata; Mammalia; Rodentia; Muridae. The record is from RNAcentral.
AGCUACAAAAUGAGAUCGACAUGGGAUUCCCUUUGACUUGCCCCAGUUGGGACUGCAACAUGGCUAAAGCAGGUGGUUUUCUUGCCUGAUGGAUGAUGACCAACGCUCCUGUGACACAUCAGAACUUUUCGUUGACUGAACGAGUGACCUUUGCUUCAUUCCACCUGCUGUCCCACUGUGUGAGACUGCACAUAGUCAUCACUUCGCUGACAUUCUGGCAGAAGAGCUGGUACACUGAUGGCAGUAGCCUCAUGGUUAAAGGUUGAUUCUACGUGGUGCUUUUCAUACUACAAUUCUGAAAAUCCUCCGAAGACCCAUGGGCAAAGGGUUAAUUCCUAGACUGUGGCACUCCACUAAGUUGGUGGAAUCUUCAGGUGGAGAAAACUAGAAAAAGAAAGCUUGGCUGCUGCUGUGCAAUCUAAAUGGAAAUAUCAGAAUUGUUCUGUACUAUCUCUUCCUUUGCUUCUAGAUCACCAUGAGAAAAGCAGUUGCCUCACUAGUACUACCAUUGCAGUAACCACAUCAACACAGACAUGCUAUGUGGUUACAGGGACUAGAAUCUGGGUCAUUUAGAAGAGGAGCCAUUACUUUUAACUGCUGGUUCAUCAUUCCAGUCCCUUCAUAUAUUGUCCUGUAAUUCAAUCUGAAAGCAUCUCA